Molecule: ribosomal RNA, 441 nt
Filed under: uncultured bacterium
Lineage: Bacteria
Description: partial 16S ribosomal RNA
Rfam family: Bacterial small subunit ribosomal RNA
Source: RNAcentral
CCUACUGGUGGCUGCAGUGGGGGCUAUUGCACAAUGGGGGGAACCCUGAUGCAGCGCCGCCGCGUGGGGGAAGGAGUGCUUCGGCAUGUAAAGCCCUAUCGGCAGGGAAGAAGCAAGACGGUACCUGACUAAGAAGCCCCGGCUAACUACGUGCCAGCAGCCGCGGUAAUACGUAGGGGGCGAGCGUUAUCCGGAUGCACUGGGGGUACAGGGAGCGUAGGCGGCCCUGCAAGCCAGGGGUGACAGCGCGGGGCCCAACCCCGGGACUGCCCUUGGAACUGUGCGGCUAGAGUGCGGGAGGGGCAGGCGGAAUGCCUGGUGUAGCGGUGAAAUGCGUAGAUAUCAGGAGGAACACCGGCGGCGAAGGCGGCCUGCUGGACUGCGACUGACGUUGAGGCUCGAAAGCGUGGGGAGCGAACAGGAUUAGAUACCCGAGUAGUC